GUGUGCUGGGAAUUGAACCCUGGUCUUCUACAAGAGCAGCCAAAAAGCCCCCUGUGACAGGCAAAGAAGGGUAUCUGAUAUGGACCUCUUUGAAAAGGAUCUUUGACCCCAAAGGAAGUCUCCACCCACAUGUUGGGACCCACUGCUUCGGACAAAGAAGAUGAGAGAGAGCCUCAUUACUGUCCUGUUACCAUCAAAGCCCUCCACUGUGUCAGACUGAUAGGAAACACUUUCUUGCAAAAAUCCACCACUGAGAUGGACGUAAUAACACAACCUUGUCAGCCCAGCACCCAGGCUGAGGCAAGAGAUAGUUGUAGAUCUCCUCCCGCUCCAUGGCAGGGCUCUGUCUCAAGCAGAAGGAGGGAAAUGAAACAAAACAACAGCUACAACGAAACAAAACCAAAA
Molecule: long non-coding RNA, 405 nt
Organism: Mesocricetus auratus (golden hamster)
Lineage: Eukaryota; Metazoa; Chordata; Mammalia; Rodentia; Cricetidae
Exons: 3
Source: RefSeq, a predicted model, not a curated record